RNAcentral lists this ribosomal RNA (468 nucleotides) under uncultured bacterium. RNAcentral describes it as "partial 16S ribosomal RNA". It matches the Rfam family "Bacterial small subunit ribosomal RNA", at positions 28 to 507 of the family's 1533-position model. The record is from RNAcentral.
GACGAACGCUGGCGGCGUGCUUAACACAUGCAAGUCGAACGGAAAGGCCCUGCUUUUGUGGGGUGCUCGAGUGGCGAACGGGUGUGUAACACGUGAGUAACCUGCCCCUGACUUUGGGAUAACUUCACGAAACUGGGGCUAAUACCGGAUAGGAUCUCCUGCUGCAUGGUGGGGGUUGGAAAGUUUCGGCGGUUGGGGAUGGACUCGCGGCUUAUCAGCUUGUUGGUCGGGUAGUGGCUUACCAAGGCUUCGACGGGUAGGCGGCCUGAGAGCGUGGCCGGGGACAAUGGGACUGAGAUAGGGCGCAGAAGGGUACGGGAGGCAACAGGGGGAAGCAUGACGCAAUAGGGGGGAGCCUGUUACGAAGGCGCCGGGUGCGGAAUAACGGCCUACGGGUUAUAAACAAAUUUCGCCUGUGACGAGGCGUGAGUGACGGUAAUGGGUAAGAAAGCAACGGCUAACUACGUG